Molecule: long non-coding RNA, 2691 nt
Organism: Salvia miltiorrhiza (redroot sage)
Lineage: Eukaryota; Viridiplantae; Streptophyta; Magnoliopsida; Lamiales; Lamiaceae
Exons: 2
Source: RefSeq, a predicted model, not a curated record
UCCAGUUUGAUAACUGACUUAGCAAAGUCAAGUUAUUAAUUUAUAUGCGAUAGAAAUAGUAUUUCUAUUAUUUACUUGAAGUCGUGAUUAAUUUUCGACUUAUAAAACGAAUUAUAAAAUAUGUAAUUCGUAGAGAGUUAUAACGAAGCGUCGUUAUUUAGUAGAACCCAAUAUUAGUUUUACAAAUACUUGUAACUUCAAUACUUUACAAAUCAUUAUUUUUCCACUCCCUAAUGUUUCCUACACUAUAUACGCAUCCACUCCACCAAAUUACAUCAUACCUACCUCCCCACCACUACUUUACUUUUCCCCCACCACAUUAGUGCACCACCAUCUCCACUACCUAUGCUCCCCACCAACUUCAAAAAAAAAAAAACUUCACCCAUUCCUUCCAUUUCGCACCAGCAAUCACAAAGAGAAGGAAGACUUGGCUUAACUAUUUUGCCAAGAUUUCAAGCUGCUCCAGUCCAGUAGUACCCCAACACUCCGGCAGUGUUUUGCAAGGCGAUUUCAGCAAUCCCAACGGUUCCCAAAAAUUCUCAAAUUAAUUGUGUAUCAUCUUUCAUAUGUUUUCUAUACUUUGGUAAAAUUUCAGAAGGUUUGAAGCUCUUAUGAUUUAUUUAUGAAUUUGUAAACAUCACUGCCCAUCUGGAAUACAUUUUUGGUAAACAAUCUUUGGGAGGCCAUAAGUAAAGUUUCAAUCGGUGAAAACCUUUGAAACUUGAAUAUGUCACUCUAGACUCCCGUAUCUUUCUUUUGAAAUCGGCCUCACCAUUUUUGAGUAAGGGAAACAACCGGUAUAAAUUCUUGAAAUCUAGUUCUUAUUCCUUGUACCAUCCAGUAGAUUUUACAAACCUACGACUUUGAGGUGGCAAAUACCGACUUAAAUAUUUGAUUCUCAAGCCUAUCUUUCUACUAAAUAUUCACUGACAUGUUGGGAACUUACUUGUUCAGUUUUAGAAUUUUUGGUGAAGCCUAAAGUGGUUUUUCCGAUUUAUGUUCUGAAUCUGCCAAACUUGAACUCUUUUUGUGCACUGAACUUUAGAUAGUCAUAUCUUCUAAACCAUGAAUGUUCUUAGAGUAAAUCCAACUGGAGAGUGUUAUGAUCUCUCCCUAGUUUCCAGAUUGACCCUUGGGGUUCCCAGUGGAGUUUUGUAAAGGGAGAUAUGAAUUUUUAAAGAAAGCCCACUGACUUGGUUGUAAUCUGGAAAUCUGAAAUUUUCAGAUUUUUGCUAGUUAAAUACCCAUCUUUGAGAGGGCAUAUCUUGCUCGUUUGAAUUGUUUUUCAUUCGAUUCAAAUUGGAGAAUGAUCCUUGAAAUGUCUAGUUUCCAGAAUAUCUUUUGGAGCCUCAUUUGGAGAUCCGAGGCAGAUUUGGUGUCUGUUGCAAAACAACCUCUUAAGAGCUCAAGUUGUUGAAUUAUUUUCUAUGUAUCAAAGUUUAUUUUAAAGGAUGUUUCAUGAAAGAUUUAGUAUAUGUGCGUAACAAGUUUGGGACUAUUUAUUUUAAAUGAGGUCCGUUCUUUAUUUAAAUUAUGAUGGACUUUUAAUGAAUAUUUUUGGGAUUAAACUCUUAUUUCUUGAUUUAUAUAAAUUAUUUUUUUAAGGACUUAUAAAUAUGAAUUUCGUAGGCCUACUGACCUACUGUGAUCGACGGUUUGUCGAUGUCUAAUAGCUUUGAAAAUUUUAUAGCAAGUCCCGACAUGAGUCUUGAGUACCCUGGUAAAAUUUCAAGCCAUUCCAACUUCGUUUGAUACUUCUUUAAAAUGCAAAACCUAAACUGCACAUUACUACCGAGAAUUUCAGAGAACAGAUGAAAGAGUCAUUUAUUUCAGUAGCUUCCUGUGUGAUCUAGCUUUCCAAAUUUUUAUGGUAUUCACCUUAUUGUGUUAGCUAGAUAUCCACCAAAGUUGAGCCCAGUUUGACAACGUUUACUAUUUUUAAAAAAUCCAAGUUUUCGAUUGUUCAAAACUGCCGAACAUGGUAGAUCGUGGUAAAAACGUCAUAUCUCUCAAACCACUUGGAGUUUUCGACUCUACUUUUUUUUAUAUGAAACUAGAUUCGAAGAUCUUUCUUUCAGUAUGAGUCUCGAGUCCAGGAGAUGUCGGAGUCAGAACAGAUUAAAUUUUGAAGUUGAGUCAGUGUAAAAACAGAGCAUGUUUUAAUGAUGUUUUUGGACUUCGGACUUUAAAGCGAACUAUUAUCAUUUAUUUCUUUAAAGUCACUGGUUUAUUUAAUUAAUUGGCUACUCUCUUUUGAGCCUAUUAAUUAUUUGAGGUUACGCUAGUAAUGAUGUAACGAAUUAUGGAUGCUAGAACCCUAAAACACUAAAAGAUACCCUAGGCACGUAGAAUUAGACUUUGUCUUAUGACAAUUACUUCACGAACUUAUCGACUCUUCAUCAAUGAAGGUCCGGGCGACAGAAAGUGAAGCCGAAGAAGAAACGACUCCACGCCAGCUUUAAGAACAAUUGAGGUUGAGUUGUGAUGGGCGAUGAAGUGUUGCUGAGUGGAGUUUUUGUUGAACUUAAAGUAGGCUCAGAAAGGAUACAUGUCUUCAUACAUGUAUCUCAGUUAUGCUUUCCGCUGUAAACACUGAUUUUUUUAGUUACACCUUCCGUUGCAAACUCUGAUAAUGUUUUAGCCAAGCCCCUAACGAUGCCUUUUUCCUUUUUAAGGAAUAUUUCACGCGUA